GACGAACGCUGGCGGCGCGCCUAACACAUGCAAGUCGAGCGAUGAAAUUUUAACCGAUCUCUUCGGAGAGAAGAUAAAAUGGAUUAGCGGCGGACGGGUGAGUAACACGUGAGAAACCUGCCUUUCACAAGGGGAUAGCCUCGGGAAACCGGGAUUAAUACCCUAUGACACAUUUCCUUCGCAUGGAAGAAAUGUUAAAACUCCGGUGGUGAAAGAUGGUCUCGCGCCUGAUUAGCUAGUUGGUGGGGUAACGGCCCACCAAGGCCAUGAUCAGUAACCGGGCAGAGAGGGUGAGCGGUCACAUUGGAACUGAGACACGGUCCAAACUCCUACGGGAGGCAGCAGUGGGGAAUAUUGCACAGUGGAGGAAACUCUGAUGCAGCGACGCCGCGUGAGCGAUGAAGGCUUUCGAGUAGUAAAGCUCUGUCCUAUGGGAAGAUAAUGACGGUACCAUAGGAGGAAGCCCCGGCUAACUACGUG
Molecule: ribosomal RNA, 480 nt
Filed under: uncultured bacterium
Lineage: Bacteria
Description: partial 16S ribosomal RNA
Rfam family: Bacterial small subunit ribosomal RNA
Source: RNAcentral